This 26-nucleotide unclassified non-coding RNA is filed under the name Dictyostelium discoideum. Lineage: Eukaryota; Evosea; Eumycetozoa; Dictyosteliales; Dictyosteliaceae. The record is from RNAcentral.
GGGUUCAUCUCCCUGAGGGGUCUCCA